Molecule: ribosomal RNA, 377 nt
Filed under: uncultured bacterium
Lineage: Bacteria
Description: bacterial SSU rRNA
Rfam family: Bacterial small subunit ribosomal RNA
Source: RNAcentral
AUACGUAGGUGGCAAGCGUUGUCCGGAAUCAUUGGGCGUAAAGCGCGCGUAGGUGGCUUGUCAGGUCUGAUGUGAAAUUUCGGGGCUCAACUCCGAACCUGCAUCGGAAACCGGCUUGCUAGAGUCUGGGAGAGGAGAGUGGAAUUCCUGGUGUAGCGGUGAAAUGCGUAGAUAUCAGGAGGAACACCGGUAGCGAAGGCGGCUCUCUGGAACAGUACUGACGCUGAGGCGCGAAAGCUAGGGGAGCGAACAGGAUUAGAUACCCUGGUAGUCCUAGCCGUAAACGAUGGACACUAGGUGCCGGGGGUGUCGACUCCCCCGGUGCCGAAGCUAACGCAUUAAGUGUCCCGCCUGGGGAGUACGGCCGCAAGGCUAAA